RNAcentral lists this ribosomal RNA (410 nucleotides) under uncultured bacterium. Its description in RNAcentral is "bacterial SSU rRNA". It matches the Rfam family "Bacterial small subunit ribosomal RNA", at positions 355 to 775 of the family's 1533-position model. The record is from RNAcentral.
UCGAGGAUCUUCGGCAAUGGGGGCAACCCUGACCGAGCGACGCCGCGUGGAUGAUGAAGGCCUUCGGGUUGUAAAAUCCUGUCGAGGGGGAGGAAACCGCAAGGUUGACCCAUCCCUGGAGGAAGCUCGGGCUAAGUUCGUGCCAGCAGCCGCGGUAAGACGAACCGAGCGAACGUUGUUCGGAAUCACUGGGCAUAAAGGGUGCGUAGGCGGGCCACCAAGUCUGUGGUGAAAUUCUCUGGCUUAACCAGAGUAGUGCCGCGGAUACUGGGGGCCUCGAGGGGGGUAGGGGCAUGCGGAACUCUGGGUGGAGCGGUGAAAUGCGUUGAGAUCCAGAGGAACUCCGGUGGCGAAGGCGGCAUGCUGGACCUUUUCUGACGCUGAGGCACGAAAGCCAGGGGAGCGAACGG